GUAUUGAUUAAAGGCACAAAGGCCAUUUAAAAACAUUCUAUUACAUUCAUGUGGGGUAUAUUUAUGUGAAAACAUAGACAUGAAAUGCAAGGAAAGCCGGCUUGCGCGCAGCAUAUCCUCAAACCGAGUCUCCUCGAGGGGUAUUCCAUGGUCUACAAAAAGUGCACAGGUGGUACAAACAGUGCUGAGUGUGCACAUGUCCCUAGGGACCAGCAUCAACCCAACAGAGGUUAUUCAAUAAUGAUCCUUCCGCAGGUUCACCUACGGAAA
Molecule: unclassified non-coding RNA, 270 nt
Filed under: uncultured fungus
Lineage: Eukaryota; Fungi
Description: sequence contains ITS1
Source: RNAcentral